UAAUACCCGCUCCCCGAGUGGUCGGGACGUUUACUGGGCUUAAAGGACCCGUAGCCGGCCCUGCAAGUCCCCCGUUAAAUCCGGCGUCUCAAGCGCCGGGCUGCGGGGGUUACUGCGGGGCUUGGGAGCGGAGGAGGCCGGCGGUACCCCCGGAGUAGGGGUAAAAUCCUCUGAUCCCGGGGGGACCACCAGCGGCGAAGGCGGCCGGCUAAAACGCGUCCGACGGUGAGGGGUGAAAGCUGGGGGAGCGAUCGGGACUAGAUACCCCGGUAGUCCCAGCUGUAAACGAUGCGGGCUAGGUGUGCGGGUAGCUUCGGGCUGUCCGCGUGCCGCAGGGAAACCGUUAAGCCCGCCGCCUGGGGAGUACGGCCGCAAGGCUG
Molecule: ribosomal RNA, 380 nt
Filed under: uncultured archaeon
Lineage: Archaea
Description: bacterial SSU rRNA
Rfam family: Archaeal small subunit ribosomal RNA
Source: RNAcentral